Homo sapiens (human) is the source of this 700-nucleotide long non-coding RNA. Ensembl annotates it as solute carrier family 66 member 1 like (pseudogene). Its record names the gene SLC66A1L. The record is from Ensembl. NCBI's taxonomy places the organism in Eukaryota, Metazoa, Chordata, Mammalia, Primates, Hominidae.
GGUCCCCGCCCCGCGUGCUCAGGCUGAACAGCUUUUCUUCCCUGAUCUCUCGGAGGCGCCGGCUGCUGGCCAACGCAGGGCAGCCUCCUGCGUGCGUGCUGUGGGUUUCUCCUUCAGUUUCCUCUCAUUGCCUGAGGUUGGGCCCGAACACGGCGGUACAUUUCCUUGAGAUUUGAAAACAAUUUGUAGCCAACUUCAGUAUGAAUCAAAGCAUUGUUUUAAAAGGAAAGAUUCCUUCUGACAUUAAAUUGCAUUUUCCAAGAACCAGCAACAUCAACCAUCCAGACUUUAAUUAUGGAAUCACAGGUGCAACUGCGUAUCUCCUCAGUAGAGGACAGGAAGAUUUGUGUGACUGGGACUUUAUGGAUUUGGCAUCUCCUGCAAGAUGUGUGUCCAACUCCUGGGAAUACUGUAGCAUGAUUAUAGAAUUGGUUUCUAUUGUCUGUUUUCUGUUUGUUGCUCUCUCAUAAGUUAAGAAUCUUGGAUUUCAAGUCUAUAGUGUAACACUCUUGUUCAUAAUUUCUUAUUUAAAAAAAUGUUUAAAUAUUUCUAUAUUAAGUAUUUUUUCAAACUAUUUGGGCUUGCUAUUGAACAAAUGUUCUCUUUGUAUUGUAUAUUUUGAAGGUGCUAAAAAGCAUCACUAAAACAUUUUGGAAUAUAACAGAAAGAUGGUUAAUACAUUAUACUGACUACUUUUUUC